AGAGCGAACGCUGGCGGCAGGCCUAACACAUGCAAGUCGAACGGACUCUUCGGAGUUAGUGGCGGACGGGUGAGUAACACGUGGGAACGUGCCUUUAGGUUCGGAAUAGCUCCUGGAAACGGGUGGUAAUGCCGAAUGUGCCCUUCGGGGGGAAAGAUUUAUCGCCUUUAGAGCGGCCCGCGUCUGAUUAGCUAGUUGGUGAGGUAGAGGCUCACCAAGGCUACGAUCAGUAGCUGGUCUGAGAGGAUGACCAGCCACAUUGGGACUGAGACACGGCCCAAACUCCUACGGGAGGCAGCAGUGGGAAUCUUGCGCAAUGGGCAAAGCCUGACGCAGCCAUGCCGCGUGAAUGAUGAAGGUCUUAGGAUUAGUAAAUUCUUCAGUAGGACGAUAAUGACGUACUACAGAAGACGCCCGUACUAACUCGU
This 428-nucleotide ribosomal RNA is filed under the name uncultured soil bacterium. Its description in RNAcentral is "bacterial SSU rRNA". It matches the Rfam family "Bacterial small subunit ribosomal RNA", at positions 26 to 505 of the family's 1533-position model. The record is from RNAcentral.